UACAGAGGUCCCAAGCGUUGUUCGGAUUCACUGGGCGUAAAGGGUGCGUAGGUGGUUGGGUAAGUUUGAUGUGAAAGCUCUGGGCUCAACCCAGAAAUGGCAUUGAAUACUAUCCAACUAGAGGAGUGGAGGGGGGACUGGAAUACCUGGUGUAGCAGUGAAAUGCGUAGAUAUCAAGUGGAACACCAGUGGCGAAGGCGAGUCCCUGGACACUUCCUGACACUGAGGCACGAAAGCUAGGGGAGCAAACAGG
Molecule: ribosomal RNA, 253 nt
Filed under: uncultured bacterium
Lineage: Bacteria
Description: partial 16S ribosomal RNA
Rfam family: Bacterial small subunit ribosomal RNA
Source: RNAcentral